This 510-nucleotide ribosomal RNA is filed under the name uncultured fungus from ectomycorrhizal root. RNAcentral's name for it is "eukaryotic LSU rRNA". The stretch from base 185 to 338 matches the Rfam family "5.8S ribosomal RNA". Lineage: Eukaryota; Fungi. The record is from RNAcentral.
UUAAGCAACUGCUAUGCAUUUUCUACCCCAACUGCGUAUUUUUCCUGUUGCUUCCGUACUGCGUGGACUUUGUUCCCCUCUUACUGUAUCUUAAGUAUGGUUCAGAGUGUCGGUACGGCAGAUAUUCGUCAAACACCUUGCAUUUCAUGUCAUUGAGUCUGAACUGUUAAUAGCAAAAAGUUAAAACUUUCAACAACGGAUCUCUUGGUUCUCGCAUCGAUGAAGAACGCAGCGAAAUGCGAUAAGUAGUGUGAAUUGCAGAAUUCAGUGAAUCAUCGAAUCUUUGAACGCACAUUGCGCCUUCUUGUAUUCAGGGAGGCAUGCCUGUCCGAGUGUCAUUAAAAAUCACUCAAGCUCUUUUGCUUGGUCUUGGAAAGAAGAGUCCGCUGGUUUGUCUCUCUUCCGAAAUGUAAUGGCGGAAGCCCUCAUGCACCUGGCGUUGUAAUUACUAUUCGCCUUGGGUCUUGAAACAUUCCUGUCUACCCACCCAAUUUUUUCUAGUUUGACCUC